GACAUAGGUGGCGAACGUUAUCCGGAUUUAUUGGGCGUAAAGGGCGCGUAGGUGGUUCUGUAUGUCUACCGUGAAAGCGUACGGCUCAACCGUAUUUUGUCGGUGGAAACUGCAGGACUUGAGGCUGGGAGGGGCUGGUGGAAUUCCCUGUGUAGCGGUGAAAUGCGUAGAGAUGGGGGAGAACACUCGUGGCGAAGGCGGCCAGCUAGACCAGUUCUGACACUGAGGCGCGACAGCGUGGGGAGCAAACAGG
Molecule: ribosomal RNA, 253 nt
Filed under: uncultured bacterium
Lineage: Bacteria
Description: partial 16S ribosomal RNA
Rfam family: Bacterial small subunit ribosomal RNA
Source: RNAcentral